RNAcentral lists this ribosomal RNA (532 nucleotides) under uncultured Actinomycetes bacterium. RNAcentral describes it as "bacterial SSU rRNA". It matches the Rfam family "Bacterial small subunit ribosomal RNA", at positions 355 to 897 of the family's 1533-position model. Lineage: Bacteria; Bacillati; Actinomycetota; Actinomycetes. The record is from RNAcentral.
UGGGGAAUCUUGCACAAUGGGCGAAAGCCUGAUGCAGCGACGCCGCGUGAGGGAUGACGGCCUUAGGGUUGUAAACCUCUUUCAGCAGGGACGAAGCGAAAGUGACGGUACCUGCAGAAGAAGCCCCGGCUAACUACGUGCCAGCAGCCGCGGUAAUACGUAGGGGGCGAGCGUUGUCCGGAUUUAUUGGGCGUAAAGAGCGCGUAGGUGGUUUGUAAAGUCGGAUGUGAAAGUCCAGGGCUUAACCCUGGGAUGCCAUUCGAUACUUGCAGACUAGAGCAUGGUAGGGGGAUCUGGAAUUCCUGGUGUAGCGGUGAAAUGCGCAGAUAUCAGGAGGAACACCGGUGGCGAAGGCGGGAUCCUGGGCCAUUGCUGACACUGAGGCGCGAAAGCUGGGGGAGCAAACAGGAUUAGAUACCCUGGUAGUCCCAGCCGUAAACGAUGGGUGCUAGGUGUGGGAGGCUAUCGACGCCUUCCGUGCCGCAGCUAACGCAUUAAGCACCCCGCCUGGGGAGUACGGCCGCAAGGCUAA